This 589-nucleotide ribosomal RNA is filed under the name uncultured Methylophilus sp. RNAcentral describes it as "bacterial SSU rRNA". It matches the Rfam family "Bacterial small subunit ribosomal RNA", at positions 335 to 915 of the family's 1533-position model. Lineage: Bacteria; Pseudomonadati; Pseudomonadota; Betaproteobacteria; Nitrosomonadales; Methylophilaceae. The record is from RNAcentral.
ACUCCUACGGGAGGCAGCAGUGGGGAAUUUUGGACAAUGGGCGCAAGCCUGAUCCAGCCAUUCCGCGUGAGUGAAGAAGGCCUUCGGGUUGUAAAGCUCUUUCGCAAGGGAAGAAAACUUACAUUCUAAUAAAGUGUGAGGCUGACGGUACCUUGAUAAGAAGCACCGGCUAACUACGUGCCAGCAGCCGCGGUAAUACGUAGGGUGCGAGCGUUAAUCGGAAUUACUGGGCGUAAAGCGUGCGCAGGCGGUUUUGUAAGUCAGAUGUGAAAUCCCCGGGCUCAACCUGGGAACUGCGUUUGAAACUACAAGGCUAGAGUAUGGCAGAGGGGGGUAGAAUUCCACGUGUAGCAGUGAAAUGCGUAGAGAUGUGGAGGAAUACCAAUGGCGAAGGCAGCCCCCUGGGUCAAUACUGACGCUCAUGCACGAAAGCGUGGGGAGCAAACAGGAUUAGAUACCCUGGUAGUCCACGCCCUAAACGAUGUCUACUAGUUGUUGGGAGAGUAAAAUCUCUUAGUAACGCAGCUAACGCGUGAAGUAGACCGCCUGGGGAGUACGGUCGCAAGAUUAAAACUUAAAGGAAUUGACG